ACCCUAGGUCUAGUGGGAUUACUUGUUGAGUUUAAGCAUUUCAAUAAGUGAAGGAAAAAAAACUUACCAGAAUUCUUAUAGUAAUAGUGAGUGAACCAAGAAGAGCCUAACUUGAGAAUGAAGUGCCUCCAACAUCCUAAUUGUAGUUUAGAGAAACAUCUUCAACGGCAGACCAUGCCUAAGUCCCCUAGAAAAGAGCACUUGAGAGGGUGAGAGACCCAUUAUGCUUGGACCCUAUUGCACUAUGAGGCAUUGUUUAUGAGUCGAGUUGUUUGGAAAUGUAGCACCAAUCAGGCAAUAAAUUCCAUCCAAGGCUGAAUAUGAGAAAGAGACCGAUAGUGAACAAAUAUCAUGAAGGAAAUAUGAAAAGAGUUUUGGAAAGAGAGUCAAAGACUGCUUAAAAUUAUCCAAAGGGAAGCAGAUAGGGGUCGAUAAUUCAUCCCAGUCAAAAGUGGAAUGACGAGAGCUUGUUCACCUAUCAGCUUAGGGCAUAGGCUAAUGCAAGUCAUGAUGUCGGCCCAAGCCUGAGCUUUUGAUAUGCCCAUAAAGAUGUCAUCAUAGUGAUCAUGCAAUGCAGCAUGCACCAUCUUGACAAGCCCCGACACUGACAUGCUCCAAGCAUCAGCUUGUAGGCUCUCCAUAUAGCCCAUCUUGAAACAUGGACCAAAGAGUCUGACAUGUGUAUAAGUCAAUGGGCUAGAAAACCCAUAAAGCGUAAGAAAGCUUAUUGGUGAGAUCCCUUGUGGGUGCACCACCGAUUGACCUUGAUCUUUUGAAAAAAGUUCAAGUGUGGGCAUGCUUGAUUAGGGCAAAGCUAGAGGAAACUCUGGUGGAGGCCCACAACGAUACUGAUGUGCAAAUUGUUUGUUUGACUUUGGUAUGGGGGUGAAAGACUAAUCGAACCAUAUAGUAGUUGGUUCCCUUCAAAGUAUCCCUUAAAAUAACUGGAGCUAGCGAGUUCUACAAGUAAAACCAAUGAUUAGAGACAUCGGGGGUGCAACACCCUCUACUUAUUCUCAAACUUUAAAUAGGUAGGAUAAUGUGGCUACUUCAUUCAAGCAUGCCACAAAAUUGAGAACUCCAAGUGGGCAAUCUUUAGAAAGCUGCACUGAUGAUGGGGGAUGAAUUGGAAGCUAGGUUACAAUGCCUAACUACACACUAACCUAGAACCCACAAAGGGUGUUAGUUGAAUAAGAUAAUAAGAUAGAGAUCAUGGAAGUUAAAAUCCAUUAAAGAGUGUGUAACAACUCACCUGUUGAAUCAACUAGCCCUAAAAAUGGAUGGCACUUAAGUGCAUGACCUAUACUCGACUGUCUGGUACAGGGCCAGGCCUCGAUAAGGAGGAAGGCACAGUGGUCACUGCAAAACCAAAGGUGCAAGCUCAGGCAGAGUGGCCAUCAUUGCAGAUCUUGGUGGUUGUAGCAAAUAUUCAAAUGAGAACUUUGAAGGCUGUAGUAGGGAAAGGUUCUGUGUAAAUGGCACUUGCACAUAGGUUAGUUUAUCCUAAAAGAUAGGGAAGCCCAUCCAAUAGCAUGUUCGACGUGAGCUUCGAAAAAGAAUUUGAUUAAAAUUCUUGAAUUGGGAUGCGAUGGUUGACAACAACGUUAGGGAGUCUAAAGACGUGGGGGCCUUGGAAAGUGUUAUCUGACAGCAACAUUAGGGAGUCUAGAGACAUGGGGGCCUUGGAAAGUGUUAUCUUUUCUAUUUAAUAGCUUGCCCACCCUGCUCAGCUAGAAGUAAGGUCAAGUGGUUGGAAAAGCAGUGCAUGUCACAUCGUGUCUGGUGUGUCCCUGAUGGCCCUUGAAAAUCCAAUGAACGAAAUGUCUUUUGCACUUGGUCAUACUCAUAACCACAUCAGGUCUCCAAAGUGAACAACCUAUGGUCGAUGGAACAAUGUAGGCAAGGAAAGUUAGCAAAAAGAUUGGCUCUGAAGGUUGGGCAUAGAGGUCCCAGUCCCAAACCUAUUGACUAUCAGUGGACUAGUAGAGUUACUCCCAUGACAAAAAUGGGUCAUUGCGUGUCAGUCAGAGGAUGAACUAGGAAUAGCUUCAUUGAGGGCCUGUUUCGACUAAUGAACAAUUGAAUCAAAAUUAGUAUGGACAUGGGGAAUCAAUUAUUUAAUUAAAACAAAGCAUUGCAAUGGUCCUUUUGGAUGCUUAUGCAAUGUGAUUUUUGCUUAGUGCUUUGAUUGUCAAAGUGAAAAAAUUCAACCAAGCAUGGGUAAAUGGCAGGAGCAACUACGACUCUCUUAAGGUAGCCAAAUGCCUCGUCAUCUAAUUAGUGACACACAUGAAUGGAUUAACAAGAUUCCCACUAUCCCUGUCUAUUAUCCAGGGAAACCAUAGCCAAGGGAAUAGGCUUGGUAGAAUUAGUGGGAAAAGGAGACCUUACUGAGCUUGACUCUAGUCUAACUUUAUGAAAUGACUCGAGAGGUGUAGGAUAAGUGGGAGCCUUCAGGUGAAAUUGAAAUACCACUACUUUUAAUGUUAUCUUACUUAUUGUGUGAAUUAGAGGUAGGGCACGACCCUUUCUUUGAGACCUAAGGCUAACCUUGGUGAGUCAAACUAGACGAAAGACAUUGUUACAUUUAGAGUUUGGUUAGGGCAGCACAUUUAUUAAAAGAUAAUGCAGGUGUCCUAAGAUGAGCUCACAAGAAUAGAAAUCUUAUGUUGAACAAAAGGGUAAAAGCUUGUUUGAUUCUAAUUUCCAGUAUGAACAUGAACAAUGAAAGUGUGGCCUAUCAAUCCUUUAGACUUUCAGAAUUUGAAGUGAGAGGUGUCCAAAAAGUUAACACUAGAUAACUAGCUUAUGGUAGCCAAUCAUUCAUAGCAAAGUUGAUUUUUGAUCCUUAGAUGUUGGCUCUUCCUGUCAUUAUGAAGUAGAAUUCACCAAGUCUUGGAUUGUUCACCCACCAACAAAGAAUGUGAGUUAGCUUUAGACCAUCAUAAGAUAGGUUAGUUUUACCCUACUGAUGGCAAUGUUGCAAUAGUAACUCAAUAUAGUACGAGAAGAACCAUUGAUUCACACAAUUGGUCAUCAUGCUUGGUUGGAAAGCUAGUGGCGCGAAGCUAUUAUGUUCUAGAUUAUGACCUCUAAGUCAAAAUUUAGGCUAGAAGCAAUGCACAUGCCUACUACCUGAUUGCUAACUUGUAGGGGCCCAUGGCCCCUGUGGGCAUGUCAUAUGUGCAACCCCAAUGGUGGACAAGCCGCGCAGGCCUCCUUGGAGAUCAAUUCCCAUCAAGUAAUAGGUAGAAUCCUUUGUAG
Molecule: ribosomal RNA, 3264 nt
Filed under: Durio zibethinus
Lineage: Eukaryota; Viridiplantae; Streptophyta; Magnoliopsida; Malvales; Malvaceae
Description: eukaryotic LSU rRNA
Rfam family: Eukaryotic large subunit ribosomal RNA
Source: RNAcentral